This is a long non-coding RNA of Magnolia sinica, 747 nucleotides long. RefSeq lists it as uncharacterized. Lineage: Eukaryota; Viridiplantae; Streptophyta; Magnoliopsida; Magnoliales; Magnoliaceae. The record is from RefSeq and is a predicted model, not a curated record. The transcript has 3 exons.
ACCAAAUUGGCGCAUCAUUAGCUUUUUGAUUCCAUGUUCUUCACUGUCUUCAUCUUCUAGAAACAGAUUCAUUUCCAACUGCUGAUAAGUUAUUCCGAAAUAAAAUUUGGGUUGGAACAGUUGAAGGUUAGCGAUAGUUCCUCAUUAAUUCUUAGCUUCCAUUUGCAAAUGAUGUUAUGAUUCAUGUUAAUUAGAAUUGUUAAUAGGUCUUCCUGUCUAUGUCAUUGAUCCUCAUCAUCCAGCUAAAUUCUUCUGGAGAGGACAGUUUUAUGGAGAGAAUGAUGAUUUCAAGCGUUUUUCAUUCUUUAGUCCUGCAACACUUGAAUUGCUUCUUCGAGCUGGCAAGAAACCAGAUAUAAUCCAUUGCCAUGACUAGCAGAUAGCUUUUGUUGCACCACUCUAUUGGGAUUUGUAUGCUCCUAGAGGUUUGAAUACGGUUAGAAUUUACUUUACAUGCCACAAUUUUGAGUAUCAGGGGACAACACCUUCUUCAGAGUUGGCAUCCUGUGGCAUUGAUGUUCACCAGCCGAGUAGACAUGAUAGGAUGCAGGACAAUGCAUCACAUGAUAGAGUCAAUCCAAUUAAGGGUGCGAUUGUGUUCUCCAACAUUGUAACAACAAUAUCUCCAUCUUUCUCUCCCUGCCCCGACUCUCUCUCUAUCUCUCCGCCCUGAUUUCACUCAAAAAUAUGAUAACAUAGGGGCUGAAAUGGCUGACCUUGUUCAGGUGAUACCUCUUACCACUAACU